GGAUGCGAUCAUACUAGCACUAAAGCACCGGAUCCCAUCAGAACUCCGAAGUUAAGCGUGCUUGGGCGAGAGUAGUACUAGGAUGGGUGACCUCCUGGGAAGUCCUUGUGUUGCAUUCC
RNAcentral lists this ribosomal RNA (119 nucleotides) under Triticum aestivum (bread wheat). Lineage: Eukaryota; Viridiplantae; Streptophyta; Magnoliopsida; Poales; Poaceae. RNAcentral also lists the same sequence under 2 other names. The record is from RNAcentral.